CUCACAUUCCUUGGGGUCUGCCUUAAAAAGAAAUAAAAAGGAGACAACAAUACAAUAACUGAACCAAUAAUCAACUAUGUACAACAUUCCGUUCACUGCGCCUCUGCGGGGCAGUGUUAGGUAUAACGGUUUCUCUUGUGGCUCUGAUCUGACAGCCACUUUGGGGGUGGGUAUUAAAAUCAAGAGCAAGGUUUUAACGGUAACAAUUAUUAAAGCAAUUCUCAAGGGGCAAAAUUGUAAUUUUUAAUUCAUUUUAUUUGUUCAAUAUUUUAUUUUUACAGAUUAACUGCAUCCUUUGUUUACAUUAACAUUUCUUCAUUUUAACGUGCAGUCACCUUAAAAUACAAGGACCUCGUACAGUAGGAAACAAGAAAAACUAUUACUCCAAACUUUUACUGUAAAGCCACUGCUAAGACCCUAAGACUCCCCUUUUUGGGGGAUGUAGAAAUGCAAUAAUGGUGGUUACUAUAAAGGAAAAUAAAAUAAAAUGGAUCUAGGGCACAAAAAUAAUUAAUUACAAAUUACUGUCACCAACGUCCCCUUAUUCUGCUUGAGAAAACAAAAAUAGAUAAACAGAUAAUAAAAGAGUUAAUAAAAACUAUGUAUUAAUUUUAAUAUUCUGCUUUCUAUAUGAAAACCGUCUCUCUCGAUGGCUUAUUUACUGUCCUAGUGCAAUCAUCUAUUUUAAUUCAUAUUUGUAUGCACCUAUUCUUCAUUUCUAUCCUUGAGCAUAAACUGGCAUUCUGCACCAGCCACCUUAAGUGCUAACCAAGUACUAUAACCACUACACUAAUAAUAUCUUCGACUCCUCCUAUAGCCAAGUGUUCAUCGUAUCUCAUAGUAAUGGUUAUCAUGGGGUCAGCAGAAAGAGCAGCAGUUUAAUUGGUGCUUGAAAACAACUUGACAAAAAACAGAGGGGCUUUAGUCAUAUAGCCCAGGCAACAUAACUACUACAAAAAAAACUUAAAAGGGCUGCCUAUAGGGCUCUGGUGGCGGUUUGACUAAAGGAUAUUGGCAUCUCCAUCCAGGAGGUCAUUCUAAAAGGUAGUGGAUAAUUUUCUCAUGGAUAAAUUAACUGUGAUAGUUUCUAAUACCUUCUUUUGCUUCUGACAAGCAUGGGGUCCAUGGCUGGGUUGCAUCCCAAUGGUGUUCACCUCCACCUUGUCUUACCCUUCUCAUUUUCUCUUACGUAUUUUUUUUUAUUUUUUUUUCACUGACUGUAAUUUAAAUUGAGAGGUGCCAUGCUCUUAUCGAUGUGCUUUAUCCGUGCUCUAUGUCUCCUAAAAUUAUUUAAGAACAAAAAAACUGUAGAGGGUAUAGUGUUUGGAAUGUCCUUUCAGGAUUAUUACCAGAGAAGGACUGAGAGAAGGCUAAUAAAGUUAGAUAUAGUCUAAAUAAAUGUAUUUAGGGAGAAAUAUACAAGUGUUGUAUUUCUGAGAAAAAGUUCCAAAGAUGUGAAAUCACCAAGAACAUUCCAUCAGAUUCUAUUGCAGUUGCUCCACUUUUAGAAAUUGCCUCCGUAAUCUCAUCCUGUGACUGUAUAAUUUCCUUAUUGAACAUUCAGAUCACUCCAGACCAAAUAUAAUAAUAUACACAUUCUUUCUGGCAGUCAUUAGUGAUGUCCCGAACUGUUCGCCGAACAGUUUGCCGCAAACGGUUUGCCGCGGACUCAUCAUUGAGUAAACUUUGACCCUGUACCUCACAGUCAGCAGACACAUUCCAGCCAA
Molecule: non-coding RNA, 1727 nt
Organism: Pelobates cultripes (western spadefoot toad)
Lineage: Eukaryota; Metazoa; Chordata; Amphibia; Anura; Pelobatidae
Source: the annotation of a GenBank genome assembly